AAAUUGAAGAGUUUGAUCAUGGCUCAGAUUGAACGCUGGCGGCAGGCCUAACACAUGCAAGUCGAACGGUAACAGGAAACAGCUUGCUGUUUCGCUGACGAGUGGCGGACGGGUGAGUAAUAUCUGGGGAACUGCCUGAUGGAGGGGGAUAACUACUGGAAACGGUAGCUAAUACCGCAUAACGUCGCAAGACCAAAGAGGGGGACCUUCGGGCCUCUUGCCAUCGGAUGUGCCCAGAUGGGAUUAGCUAGUAGGUGGGGUAA
Molecule: ribosomal RNA, 263 nt
Filed under: Escherichia coli
Lineage: Bacteria; Pseudomonadati; Pseudomonadota; Gammaproteobacteria; Enterobacterales; Enterobacteriaceae
Description: partial 16S ribosomal RNA
Rfam family: Bacterial small subunit ribosomal RNA
Source: RNAcentral